Molecule: ribosomal RNA, 561 nt
Filed under: Cladosporium sp. I-9
Lineage: Eukaryota; Fungi; Ascomycota; Dothideomycetes; Cladosporiales; Cladosporiaceae
Description: eukaryotic LSU rRNA
Rfam family: 5.8S ribosomal RNA (bases 196-349)
Source: RNAcentral
GUCAUUCUGUCUCGUAGGUGACCUGCGGAGGGAUCAUUACAAGUGACCCCGGUCUAACCACCGGGAUGUUCAUAACCCUUUGUUGUCCGACUCUGUUGCCUCCGGGGCGACCCUGCCUUCGGGCGGGGGCUCCGGGUGGACACUUCAAACUCUUGCGUAACUUUGCAGUCUGAGUAAACUUAAUUAAUAAAUUAAAACUUUUAACAACGGAUCUCUUGGUUCUGGCAUCGAUGAAGAACGCAGCGAAAUGCGAUAAGUAAUGUGAAUUGCAGAAUUCAGUGAAUCAUCGAAUCUUUGAACGCACAUUGCGCCCCCUGGUAUUCCGGGGGGCAUGCCUGUUCGAGCGUCAUUUCACCACUCAAGCCUCGCUUGGUAUUGGGCAACGCGGUCCGCCGCGUGCCUCAAAUCGACCGGCUGGGUCUUCUGUCCCCUAAGCGUUGUGGAAACUAUUCGCUAAAGGGUGCUCGGGAGGCUACGCCGUAAAACAAACCCAUUUCUAAGGUUGACCUCGGAUCAGGUAGGGAUACCCGCUGAACUUAAGCAUAUCAAUAGCCGGAGGAA